GAUGAACGCUGGCGGCGUGCCUAAUACAUGCAAGUCGAGCGAACAGACGAGGAGCUUGCUCCUCUGACGUUAGCGGCGGACGGGUGAGUAACACGUGGAUAACCUACCUAUAAGACUGGGAUAACUUCGGGAAACCGGAGCUAAUACCGGAUAAUAUAUUGAACCGCAUGGUUCAAUAGUGAAAGACGGUUUUGCUGUCACUUAUAGCUGGAUCCGCGCCGCAUUAGCUAGUUGGUAAGGUAACGGCUUACCAAGGCAACGAUGCGUAGCCGACCCGAGAGGGUGAUCGGCCACACUGGAACUGAGACACGGUCCAGACUCCUACGGGAGGCAGCAGUAGGGAAUCUUCCGCAAAGGGCGAAAGCUUGACGGAGCAACGCCGCGUGAGUGAUGAAGGUCUUCGGAUCGUAAAACUCUGUUAUUAGGGAAGAACAAAUGUGUAAGUAACUAUGCACGUCUUGACGGUACCUAAUCAGAAAGCCACGGCUAACUACGUG
This 497-nucleotide ribosomal RNA is filed under the name uncultured bacterium. Its description in RNAcentral is "partial 16S ribosomal RNA". It matches the Rfam family "Bacterial small subunit ribosomal RNA", at positions 28 to 507 of the family's 1533-position model. The record is from RNAcentral.